This 253-nucleotide ribosomal RNA is filed under the name uncultured bacterium. Its description in RNAcentral is "partial 16S ribosomal RNA". It matches the Rfam family "Bacterial small subunit ribosomal RNA", at positions 524 to 776 of the family's 1533-position model. The record is from RNAcentral.
AACGUAGGAGACAAACGUUAUCCGGAGUUACUGGGCGUAAAGGGCGUGCAGGUGGUUCGUUAAGUUCGGCGUGAAAGCUUCUGGCUAAACCGGGAGAGGUCGUCGGAGACUGGCGGGCUAGAGGGUGAUAGAGGCGGGUGGAAUUCCGGGUGUAGUGGUGAAAUGCGUAGAGAUCCGGAGGAACACCAGUGGCGAAGGCGACCCGCUGGGUCACACCUGACACUGAGACGCGACAGCAUGGGGAGCGAACGGG